ACCUCCAAUAAGUGAAUCGGGUUUAGACUGGGCAGGUAACGCUUGGCUCCUAAGGCUUACCUUUUCUUACCUUGUACCUUUGAUUGACUGGAAUUUUUAUUUCCAGGUUCGAGUGAGACGGAGGGCAUUGUCCCGCCCGUAGCUCCUGUGGUACCGGAGGUCACCCCGGAGGUUGGUUGUCCCGCGGAGGGUGAUCAGGGAGCUCCAUCUGAUCAAGCACCAGUCAAGGAGGUGAAUGAAACUCUGAUUGCUGAGCCGGAGUCCGAGGUGGA
Molecule: long non-coding RNA, 272 nt
Filed under: Arabidopsis lyrata
Lineage: Eukaryota; Viridiplantae; Streptophyta; Magnoliopsida; Brassicales; Brassicaceae
Description: long non-coding RNA (ALYR_LNC000321)
Source: RNAcentral